Molecule: non-coding RNA, 488 nt
Organism: Equus caballus (horse)
Lineage: Eukaryota; Metazoa; Chordata; Mammalia; Perissodactyla; Equidae
Source: RefSeq, a predicted model, not a curated record
UUAAAAGGAAGUAAAGAAGGGAGAAAUAACCUGAGACUUACAGCGGGGGAGAGGUCAACAUGAAUUAGCCAGAUUUGCUGUGCGGACCUUUGGACUAGCUAACGUCCCUCCAUCUUCCCAAUAUCAGGUUCCCAGUCUUUGCAAUAUUGUGACUUGGCUCUGUCUUUGCCACAAGUGAGCAACUUUGAGUGACGUGUUUGUAUUUUCUUCUUCCUACCUUUCGUAAGUUUCAUCUGCCACUAGACGGAAGAUAUGAUGCAGGUGUUCAUCUCAAGAGCACUCCCCAAAUAAAUCUCCUGCAUGCCAAUUUCUGCCUCAAUGGAAGACGGGGACCCACCUGUCACAGCAUUGAAGAAAAUAGUGAAAAUUAUGAAUAUGAUUCCAUAGAGCCCGCUGAGUAUAGACUUCUUUUUUGUCAGGCUAUACAAAAAAAUUGGACAGUGAAUGAAGACUCUGCUUUUCCACACUAAAGUAUCUUGGCCAUUGGA